Molecule: non-coding RNA, 21 nt
Filed under: Arabidopsis thaliana (thale cress)
Lineage: Eukaryota; Viridiplantae; Streptophyta; Magnoliopsida; Brassicales; Brassicaceae
Source: RNAcentral
UGUCUUGUUGAUCUCAAUAGC